Molecule: transfer RNA, 788 nt
Filed under: uncultured cyanobacterium
Lineage: Bacteria; Bacillati; Cyanobacteriota
Description: partial 16S-23S intergenic spacer
Rfam family: tRNA (bases 261-333)
Source: RNAcentral
AGACAAAUAAUUGAUCUUGAUGUUUGAUUUAACUAUUAUCAGACCAAGAUCCUGUCACCUUGGGUCGAUCGGUACCUCAGAUUAAUUAACUAGACGGUUAUUCAUUCAAUGAAUAAUUUAAAGUAUUAAUUUCAGUUCCUAAACUUGUCUAGGUCACACCCCAUAAGGGUUACUCCUGGGCCAUUAGCUCAGGUGGUUAGAGCGCACCCCUGAUAAGGGUGAGGUCCCUGGUUCAAGUCCAGGAUGGCCCAUUCGGUGUUGGGGGUAUAGCUCAGUUGGUAGAGCGCCUGCUUUGCAAGCAGGAUGUCAGCGGUUCGAGUCCGCUUACCUCCACUGGCCGACCCCUUUCCACGAUUUAGUUAGAGGACCUUUAUGAGACGUGAUUUAGAUGAUUGGCUGAUUGGAACCUAGCUUCCUCUCAUACCAUGCCUUUUUGGCAAGGUUGAAAGGACGCUGGGCUCACUUCAUUCCUAAAAAAGGAAGGAGAGAUGUUCAGCAGAACCUUGACAACUGCAUAGUGAGUCUGGAAAAAAUAAAGCAUCUCAUGGAUGCAUUGUUUUACCGUUUAAAUCUUUAUUUUUUAAGUUAAAGAUUUAAACUAAAAUAGUGUUAUUUCUGAGCAAGAGCCGAGACUCUAUAGCUUUUCUUUUUAUGUAAUAUCAUCAUAAAGAGUUCGAUCUUUGAUUCUUUUUCUUUGCUUUUAGUCAGAUUUCUGUCUUAGUUUUAAGAAAAUACGAAUCAACGAGAAAUACGCCUUCAACUGCGUAGACAGCUAUAGAGGUUAAUUU